Molecule: ribosomal RNA, 500 nt
Filed under: Pseudomonas sp.
Lineage: Bacteria; Pseudomonadati; Pseudomonadota; Gammaproteobacteria; Pseudomonadales; Pseudomonadaceae
Description: bacterial SSU rRNA
Rfam family: Bacterial small subunit ribosomal RNA
Source: RNAcentral
GAGUUUGAUCCUGGCUCAGAUUGAACGCUGGCGGCAGGCCUAACACAUGCAAGUCGAGCGGAUGAGAAGAGCUUGCUCUUCGAUUCAGCGGCGGACGGGUGAGUAAUGCCUAGGAAUCUGCCUGGUAGUGGGGGACAACGUUUCGAAAGGAACGCUAAUACCGCAUACGUCCUACGGGAGAAAGCAGGGGACCUUCGGGCCUUGCGCUAUCAGAUGAGCCUAGGUCGGAUUAGCUAGUUGGUGAGGUAAUGGCUCACCAAGGCGACGAUCCGUAACUGGUCUGAGAGGAUGAUCAGUCACACUGGAACUGAGACACGGUCAGACUCCUACGGGAGGCAGCAGUGGGGAAUAUUGGACAAUGGGCGAAAGCCUGAUCCAGCCAUGCCGCGUGUGUGAAGAAGGUCUUCGGAUUGUAAAGCACUUUAAGUUGGGAGGAAGGGCAUUAACCUAAUACGUUAGUGUUUUGACGUUACCGACAGAAUAAGCACCGGCUAACUCUG